RNAcentral lists this unclassified non-coding RNA (293 nucleotides) under Hevea brasiliensis (rubber tree). The record is from RNAcentral. Lineage: Eukaryota; Viridiplantae; Streptophyta; Magnoliopsida; Malpighiales; Euphorbiaceae.
UAAUACUCCACCAAGAGAUAGCCAUGUCUCAGCCUGAAUUUCUCAAUGCAUAAUCCAAGUGGGAAAGUGCUACAUGAUUUAAUAAAUUCCCAGUUGGACACUUGAACUAUGUCCAAGUACAUAAGGUUAUAAGGUUGAUUAUUAAAUUUUGUUAGUGUUGUUGCUGAUGGCUCUCUUAGUCCUGGUUGAGCACUUGGACUAUGUCCAAAAGGGCAUUUGGCCUAACAUAUGAAACGGAGCUUAUAAGCAUUAAAUAUUUAUAAGUUAAUAAUCAACCUUAUAACCUUAUGUAC